This 253-nucleotide ribosomal RNA is filed under the name uncultured prokaryote. RNAcentral's name for it is "partial 16S ribosomal RNA". It matches the Rfam family "Bacterial small subunit ribosomal RNA", at positions 524 to 776 of the family's 1533-position model. The record is from RNAcentral.
UACGAGGGGGGCAAGCGUUGUUCGGAAUUAUUGGGCGUAAAGGGUGCGUAGGCGGUUUGGCAAGUCUUAUGUGAAAUCCCCGAGCUCAACUUGGGGCGGUCAGUCAAAACUGUUUAUCUAGAGUAUGGUAGAGGAAAGUGGAAUUUCAGGUGUAGCGGUGAAAUGCGUAGAUAUCUGAAGGAACACCAGUGGCGAAGGCGACUUUCUGGACCAAUACUGACACUGAGGCACGAAAGCGUGGGGAGCAAACAGG